UUUUUUUUGGAAAAAUUUAAAGUUCGGGACAUAAAACACUAUUAACCCUUUAUUUAGACGCUAAUAACCCAUUGUAAAACGAGUAAGCAUCAAAAUAGAAAACCUCAAAGUAGACAACAGUUGCUUUCAGAGGCAUAUCGUCGAACAGAAAGCGGGCAUACAUACAACAUGCAGAUUCAUAUUCCUAAAAUAAAAAAACAAAUUAAGUUUCCAGAAACCCACGAUUGAAAUUAAGUCUUACAGAUUCGGGUUUGCCGAUGAUUUUGGCAACAGCUUUAGUGGCAUCUUUGAGAAUAUCAGAAGCAACGACGCCAUCAACUGGAACAUUUGUGAACAAAUUCAACGUCGGCAUUUCUCUACUUCGCUUCCCAAACUUCGAUAAACUGAACUUGAAAUUUAUCUCUCGAGCUUCGAUUGGAGUGGGAUGAGUGGUUCUAAACUACUUUGGAAAAGACAAAAUGAUAUGAAUAAUUUUUUUAUUUUAAUUUUCACACAUAAGCAGAAUAAAUCUUUAUCAUGUAAUGUGUCCAUCAUUAUUG
RNAcentral lists this long non-coding RNA (539 nucleotides) under Salvia miltiorrhiza (redroot sage). RNAcentral describes it as "long non-coding RNA (SMIL_LNC001239)". The record is from RNAcentral. Lineage: Eukaryota; Viridiplantae; Streptophyta; Magnoliopsida; Lamiales; Lamiaceae.